This 278-nucleotide long non-coding RNA is filed under the name Brassica napus (rape). RNAcentral describes it as "long non-coding RNA (BNAP_LNC001658)". Lineage: Eukaryota; Viridiplantae; Streptophyta; Magnoliopsida; Brassicales; Brassicaceae. The record is from RNAcentral.
CCUUGUUUGCUUGUGGAGCUUCACUACCUUCCUCUUGAGUUGCCUGGCUUGCAAGGGAAAGGUCUCCUUUCUUUGCAAACAACCCAAUGGAGCCUUGCUCCUUCUGAAUCCGCGCACACACAUCCUCAAGAUCAGGUAGAGUGUCUUCUCUAAGCAGGUGCUGGAUGAGACCGUUGUAAGCUGGGUUCAGCGUGAGGAGUAGCCCAAAGACCUUGUCUUGCUCUCUCCUCUUGUUGAGCUCAUCAGCAUCCGUUGUGCUUGGCCUAAGCAUCUCCAUC